Molecule: long non-coding RNA, 246 nt
Filed under: Elaeis guineensis (African oil palm)
Lineage: Eukaryota; Viridiplantae; Streptophyta; Magnoliopsida; Arecales; Arecaceae
Description: long non-coding RNA (EGUI_LNC075146)
Source: RNAcentral
GUUAGAUUACAUUUAAUUGAAUGAGAAUAGAUAAGUUUUCUUAGCAUUCCUAUUGCUCAUUUAAGAAAGCUGAUUAAUAAUAGUAUUUUUGAUAGAUGACGAUGAGCAAUAGGGAGGAUGAUGUUUUGGCGAAUCCUGCCACUAAGAAGAGAGGAGCAAGAAGGACUACAAGAGGAGAUGCCAACCAAUUGAUUGGGCAGGCUCCUAAUGCGUUAACCACUCGAACAGAUAUUGCUGGAGUAUGCC